Molecule: ribosomal RNA, 257 nt
Filed under: uncultured Glomeraceae
Lineage: Eukaryota; Fungi; Glomeromycota; Glomeromycetes; Glomerales; Glomeraceae
Description: partial large subunit ribosomal RNA
Rfam family: Eukaryotic large subunit ribosomal RNA
Source: RNAcentral
GAAAGAUGAAAAGAACUUUGAAAAGAGAGUUAAACAGUACGUGAAAUUGUUGAAAGGGAAACGAUUAAAGUCAGUCGUACCUACGAGUAAUCAACCUACUCGAGUGCGAUUUUGUGGGUAUGUUAGAGCUUAAAAACCUUCAUGCUUACAAAUUGGUGCUCUUUGGGCGUACUUUCUCGUAUGGUAGGUUAACAUCAAUUUCGAUCGUUAUAAAAUGACUGGAGGAAUGUAGCUUCGAUCUCGGUUGAAGUGUUAUA